RNAcentral lists this ribosomal RNA (269 nucleotides) under uncultured Atopobium sp. RNAcentral's name for it is "partial 16S ribosomal RNA". It matches the Rfam family "Bacterial small subunit ribosomal RNA", at positions 90 to 355 of the family's 1533-position model. Lineage: Bacteria; Bacillati; Actinomycetota; Coriobacteriia; Coriobacteriales; Atopobiaceae. The record is from RNAcentral.
UAAAGUAGGCGAACGGCUGAGUAACACGUGGGCAACCUGCCCUUUGCACUGGGAUAGCCUCGGGAAACCGAGGUUAAUACCGGAUACUCCAUAUUUGUCGCAUGGCGAAAUAUGGGGAAAAGCUCCGGCGGCAAAGGAUGGGCCCGCGGCCUGUUAGCUAGUUGGUGGGGUAGUGGCCUACCAAGGCAAUGAUGGGUAGCCGGGUUGAGAGACCGACCGGCCAGAUUGGGACUGAGACACGGCCCAGACUCCUACGGGAGGCAGCAGCA